AGAGUUUGAUCAUGGCUCAGAUUGAACGCUGGCGGCGUGCCUAACACAUGCAAGUCGAGCGGUAACAGGUGUAGCAAUACAUGCUGACGAGCGGCGAACGGGUGAGUAAUGCUUCGGAAUCUACCCUUUAGUGGGGAAUAACCAGCCGAAAGGUUGGCUAAUACCGCAUACGUCCUACGGGAGAAAGCAGGGGAUCGUAAGACCUUGCGCUGAUGGAUGAGCCGAAGUCGGAUUAGCUAGUUGGUGAGGUAACGGCUCACCAAGGCGACGAUCCGUAGCUGGUCUGAGAGGACGACCAGCCACACUGGGACUGAGACACGGCCCAGACUCCUACGGGAGGCAGCAGUGGGGAAUAUUGGACAAUGGGGGCAACCCUGAUCCAGCGACGCCGCGUGUGUGAAGAAGGCCUGCGGGUUGUAAAGCACUUUUAGUGGGGAUGAAAUGUGCAGGGUUAAUACCUCUGCAUUUUGACCUAACCCACAGAAAAAGCACCGGCUAACUCUGUGCCAGCAGCCGCGGUAAUACAGAGGGUGCAAGCGUUAAUCGGAAUUACUGGGCGUAAAGCGUGCGCAGACGGUUAUAUAAGUCGGGUGUGAAAGCCCCGGGCUCAACCUGGGAAUUGCAUUCGAGACUGUGUAGCUAGGGUACGGAAGAGGGAAGCGGAAUUUCAGGUGUAGCGGUGAAAUGCGUAGAUAUCUGAAGGAACACCAGUGGCGAAAGCGGCUUCCUGGUCCAGUACCGACGUUCAGGCACGAAAGCGUGGGGAGCAAACAGGAUUAGAUACCCUAGUAGUCC
RNAcentral lists this ribosomal RNA (795 nucleotides) under uncultured bacterium. RNAcentral's name for it is "bacterial SSU rRNA". It matches the Rfam family "Bacterial small subunit ribosomal RNA", at positions 8 to 796 of the family's 1533-position model. The record is from RNAcentral.